This is a long non-coding RNA of Mastomys coucha (southern multimammate mouse), 2233 nucleotides long. RefSeq lists it as uncharacterized. Lineage: Eukaryota; Metazoa; Chordata; Mammalia; Rodentia; Muridae. The transcript has 9 exons. The record is from RefSeq and is a predicted model, not a curated record.
UUGGCGUCCCAGAGCUCUGGAGUUGCCUACCCUUCCUGUAAGGGCAAUCGGACCCUUUCCGGUGAGGGAACCUUUCUCCAGACGAGAUCAAGAGAAACUUGCGAGGGACUGACUUGAUCUUGCUUACCUUGGGUCACCGAAAGGAUUUGGUUGGUUUGUUCUUUCUCUACCCCAAGAAAAAGUCGCUAGCUACUACAAGGUUUUGUUUUCAACCGAGAAACACUAUGCCAAAUGAAAGUGCUGUUGCUUACCUGAUGACUGGAGCAAGAGAGUAAUAUUCUUACAGAAAACUACUUAAAGUAUCCCCUCGAUUCUGAUAAACACUGCGCGCGAAGUUUUACACUUUUUAAACCACGAGGCUGUUUCCCCCUUCUGAAAUGGUCAACAAGCUGUAUCUUCUCCAUUCCUGUAGGAUAAGUUGGAACUCUGUUUUAAAAUUCUGCCAAAACAUUUUUAAAGUUCUUAACUUUAAGUUUUAAAGUUAUUCAUUGAAAUUUGGAUAAGAAAUGAUAGUUUUGGUUUGAUUUGUCUUUGAAGUGUUAUUUUCUGGUAUACUUUAACUAUGUAUCUAUUCAAGGCUCGCCUGGAAUUCCAUGUCAGUCUUCCUGCCUCAGCUUCCCUGGUGCUCACGUGGCAGGCAUAAGUCUUUUUCCACUGCUUUGAGACUACAAUUGUUUUAAUGUAUAACUUUAACUCUUAGCACAGCGCUGCCUUGCUGUGUUGGGUAGGUAAAAUGUUCAGUGAUCAAAAGGAUUUGUAUAAUAAUUGACAGUUUAAGUAAACUGGUUCACUUCCCCAAUUUCUCUUAGCAUCCUGUUGUCAGGAUGUUACUUUGAACAGAAUUCGUAGAAACAAAACCUGAUGGGAAAACAAAUACUAUUUGAAUUGUGUACGUUAUUUGAAGUGGGAGUUUGGUUUUCUGACUCAGGGAGCUCAGCCAUUACCACACUGGGCAUAGAAUUCGAUGUAAUUCAAUGCAUAAACUUAGCAUAUCCUUAGUAACUUUCUGCCCAUUUCUUUUAUUCAGUAAUUAAUAACAACACAAGGUAAGUGUAAAAUGCUAUACUUAUCUUUGGUAUAAUAAGUUUCUGAAAGUAGAUAAAAGAAAUAUCAAGCCUCAAGAAAUCAUUGUAAGGUGUCUACUGAAAUACUAAUGUUUAUAGUUCAAUAUAAUUAACAGCUAACCCUUACCAAGCCAUUACCACAUAUUUUACCUGCUGUAACUCAUUUAAUCCUUACAGUGACCUAGGAGAUAGUUUAUAUUUUUCUCUAUCAUACCAAUAUUAAAAAGGACUACUAUAUGACUCAGAGCAAUUAUAUGAUAUUGUUUUUCUUAUAUGUAAAUGAUAAUAAUAAAUAAUAUUCACCAUGUUUACUAACACACAUUUUUUUGUGGAAGUCAUAUGAGAAUAUAUCUCUGUUUUAUUCAAAAGGCAUGUGACAUAAUUAUCCCAGCGAUCACUAAAACUGUAAAUUUGGAUGCAAUUAAGAAAGAAAACUCCACACAUUAUAGAAAUUUAAGGGCCUUGUAGAAGAAGGGCAAUGAACAAGGGUAUGAUCUUGAAGAAGGCAUUGGAACUCAAGAUGCUCCCUUCCACUAUCUCUGCUUCCUAGUCUUCUCCAGAAUGUCUGCACUGAUAUUCAUUCAAACCUUCUACUUUGGGAUUCCAACAGACUGAAGAUCAGCUUCUGGCCAGGACUCGAGUGCCACAUUGGGGCUACUGAGAUACUGAGCCUUGUUGGUUGAACAAAUACCAGAUUCUUGGUCUUUCCAUCAUGAACUAGUCAUUAAUGGCCUAUCCAGUUAGACUACAUCUGGUGAGUCCUGGGAAUCAACAACAUUGUCAGGCUUGGAAGCAAGUGCCGUUACCCACUGAGCUAUCUCACCAGCCCUAAAAUCUGAAAGUCCAGUACUCAUCAACCCCAGGGAAUGGAGCUGCCUACUUUUAAGGGAUGGAAGAGACUUCUGGAAAAGUGAAGUGAUUGUUACACAGUAAUGAGAGAUAUUGAAUAUGUACUAUGUGCCAGACAGGAUGAUAAUGAAAAUUAAAAGAAUUUUAAAGGAAAAGCUAAAAACAAUAUGUAGAGAAAUGCAACAAAGGAGGAUGGAAAAUGUAUUGGAAUCAGAACAAAGUUUCUCUACAGAUUUUCCAAGAAGUUCAAUUGUGGUCUAAGUAAAACAGCCAGAAGCUGGAAACAACCCAGAUGUCCCACAACAGAAGAAUGGAUAUGG